UACGAAGGGGGCUAGCGUUGUUCGGAAUUACUGGGCGUAAAGCGCGCGCAGGCGGUUCUUCAAGUCAGAGGUGAAAGCCCAGAGCUCAACUCUGGAAUGGCCUUUGAGACUAGAGGACUUGGGUACGGGAGAGGUGAGUGGAAUUCCGAGUGUAGAGGUGAAAUGCGUAGAUAUCGGGAGGAACACCUGUGGCGAAAGCGGCUCACUGGACCGCAACUGACGCUGAGGCGCGAAAGCUAGGGGAGCAAACAGG
Molecule: ribosomal RNA, 253 nt
Filed under: uncultured bacterium
Lineage: Bacteria
Description: partial 16S ribosomal RNA
Rfam family: Bacterial small subunit ribosomal RNA
Source: RNAcentral